RNAcentral lists this transfer RNA (83 nucleotides) under Trichosporon asahii var. asahii CBS 2479. Its description in RNAcentral is "tRNA-Cys". It matches the Rfam family "tRNA". From Rfam's summary of the family: Transfer RNA (tRNA) molecules are approximately 80 nucleotides in length. The record is from RNAcentral. Lineage: Eukaryota; Fungi; Basidiomycota; Tremellomycetes; Trichosporonales; Trichosporonaceae. RNAcentral also lists the same sequence under 1 other name.
GAGGAUGUGGCUCAGCGGUAGAAGCGGCAGAUUGCAAUUGCGCAACCAUCUGUAGGUCCCCGGUUCGAUCCCGGGCAUUCUCU